This 405-nucleotide ribosomal RNA is filed under the name uncultured bacterium. RNAcentral's name for it is "partial 16S ribosomal RNA". It matches the Rfam family "Bacterial small subunit ribosomal RNA", at positions 30 to 525 of the family's 1533-position model. The record is from RNAcentral.
AUUGAACGCUGGCGGCAGGCUUAACACAUGCAAGUCGAGCGAGCGGCGGACGGGUGAGUAAUGUCUGGGAAACUGCCUGAUGGAGGGGGAUAACUACUGGAAACGGUAGCUAAUACCGCAUACCAUCAGAUGUGCCCAGAUGGGAUUCGCUAGUAGGUGGGGUAAUGGCUCACCUAGGCGACGAUCCCUAGCUGGUCUGAGGGGAUGACCAGACACAAUGGAACUGAGACACGGGCCGAACUCCUACGGGAGGCAGCAGUGGGGAAUAUUGCAUAAUGGGCGCAAGCCGGAUGCAGCCAUGCCGGGUGUGUGAAGAAGGCCUUCGGGUUGUAAAGCACUUUCAGCUAGGAGGGGUUACUCGCAGAAGAAGCACCGGCGAACUCCGUGCCAGCAGCCGCGGUAAUU